This is a small nuclear RNA of Erinaceus europaeus (western European hedgehog), 104 nucleotides long. The record is from Ensembl. NCBI's taxonomy places the organism in Eukaryota, Metazoa, Chordata, Mammalia, Eulipotyphla, Erinaceidae.
AUGCUCGCUGCAGCAGUACAUAUACUAAAAUUGGAAUGAUACAGAAAAGAUUAGCAACCCUGAGCAUGAAUGACACACAAAUUCAUGAAUCAUUCCAUAUUUUU